UGGGGAAUUUUGGACAAUGGGCGCAAGCCUGAUCCAGCCAUGCCGCGUGCAGGAUGAAGGCCUUCGGGUUGUAAACUGCUUUUGUACGGAACGAAAAGACUCUGGUUAAUACCUGGGGUCCAUGACGGUACCGUAAGAAUAAGCACCGGCUAACUACGUGCCAGCAGCCGCGGUAAUACGUAGGGUGCGAGCGUUAAUCGGAAUUACUGGGCGUAAAGCGUGCGCAGGCGGUUAUAUAAGACAGAUGUGAAAUCCCCGGGCUCAACCUGGGAACUGCAUUUGUGACUGUAUAGCUAGAGUACGGUAGAGGGGGAUGGAAUUCCGCGUGUAGCAGUGAAAUGCGUAGAUAUGCGGAGGAACACCGAUGGCGAAGGCAAUCCCCUGGACCUGUACUGACGCUCAUGCACGAAAGCGUGGGGAGCAAACAGGAUUAGAUACCCCCGUAGUCCCUGAGCGGGCUGGCAAGGCGCAU
Molecule: ribosomal RNA, 472 nt
Filed under: uncultured bacterium
Lineage: Bacteria
Description: bacterial SSU rRNA
Rfam family: Bacterial small subunit ribosomal RNA
Source: RNAcentral